AACGAACGCUGGCGGCAUGCCUAACACAUGCAAGUCGAACGAGAUCUUCGGGUCUAGUGGCGCACGGGUGCGUAACGCGUGGGAAUCUGCCCUUUGGUUCGGAAUAACAGUUGGAAACGACUGCUAAUACCGGAUGAUGACGAAAGUCCAAAGAUUUAUCGCCAGAGGAUGAGCCCGCGUAGGAUUAGCUAGUUGGUGUGGUAAAGGCGCACCAAGGCGACGAUCCUUAGCUGGUCUGAGAGGAUGAUCAGCCACACUGGGACCGAGACACGGCCCAGACUCCUACGGGAGGCAGCAGUGGGGAAUAUUGGACAAUGGGCGAAAGCCUGAUCCGGCAAUGCCGCGUGAGUGAUGAAGGCCUUAGGGUUGUAAAGUUCUUUUACCCGGGAUGAUAAUGACAGUACCGGGAGAAUAAGCUCCGGCUAACUCCGUGCCAGCCGCCGCCGUAA
Molecule: ribosomal RNA, 449 nt
Filed under: uncultured bacterium
Lineage: Bacteria
Description: partial 16S ribosomal RNA
Rfam family: Bacterial small subunit ribosomal RNA
Source: RNAcentral